AAGGAAUCUUCCACAAUGGGCGAAAGCCUGAUGGAGCAACGCCGCGUGCAGGAUGAAGGCCCUCGGGUCGUAAACUGCUUUUAUGAGUGAAGAAUAUGACGGUAACUCAUGAAUAAGCACCGGCUAACUACGUGCCAGCAGCCGCGGUCAUACGUAGGGUGCAAGCAUUAUCCGGAGUGACUGGGCGUAAAGAGUUGCGUAGGCGGUUAGUAAAGCGAAUAGUGAAACCUGGUGGCUCAACCAUACAGACUAUUAUUCGAACUCACUAACUCGAGAGUGGUAGAGGUAACUGGAAUUUCUUGUGUAGGAGUGAAAUCCGUAGAUAUAAGAAGGAACACCAAUGGCGUAGGCAGGUUACUGGACCAUUUCUGACGCUAAGGCACGAAAGCGUGGGGAGCGAACC
RNAcentral lists this ribosomal RNA (403 nucleotides) under uncultured bacterium. RNAcentral's name for it is "bacterial SSU rRNA". It matches the Rfam family "Bacterial small subunit ribosomal RNA", at positions 356 to 774 of the family's 1533-position model. The record is from RNAcentral.